Molecule: RNA transcript, 1216 nt
Organism: Oreochromis niloticus (Nile tilapia)
Lineage: Eukaryota; Metazoa; Chordata; Actinopteri; Cichliformes; Cichlidae
Gene name: zinc finger protein 675
Exons: 3
Source: RefSeq, a predicted model, not a curated record
CUUCAGACGUCACUAAUCACGUGACUCUGGCCAAACGAAUCAAGCCUCGACACAGUGCUUCUGAAGCAGCGUGUUGAUCUUUCUGACACACGCACCGGAGCGUCAGCUUCAAGCGGACCAUCACUACCUCUCACAUCUAAAGGACCAACAUGGAGCGAGAAGUCAGCGCUCUCAGGAGGCCGACAAACCUCACAGAAGAAAGAGAGAGAAAACAUACAGCUGUGACGAGUGUGGGAAGGAUUUUACUGGGAAGGCUGAACUAAAACAUCAUCAGGUCAUCCACACUGGAGAGAGACCGUUCAGCUGUGACUUGUGUGGAAAGUCUUUUUCCAGGAAGGAUUACCUAAAAACACACCAACUCAUCCACAGUGGAGUUAAAGCGUACAGCUGUGAUCAGUGUGGCAGAGCUUUUACUCAAAGUAGCUACUUACAGAGUCAUCUAGUUACCCACUCUGGAAUUAAGGCAUACAGCUGUGACAUCUGUGGAAAGACUUUCAGCCGGACAGGGCACCGAAAUAGACACCUACGCAUUCACACCAGACAUGAUGUGUACUGCUGUGAACAGUGUGGCAAAGAGUUUAUAACAGACGCACAGUUACAAGAACACAUGUUUACCCACACUGAGGGACGACCUUAUAAAUGUGGCCUGUGUGAGAAGACUUUUAAAGCUCCACGUCACCUGAGACGACACCAACAGAUCCACACCAGAAAGAGACUCUACAAGUGCAGUUACUGUGAGAAGCAGAGCGACACAGAUGGAUCCAGUUCUCAACCCUGUCAUCACUGUGGUGGUGGGAAAGACUUUCGUUGUGACCUCUGUGGAAAAACUUUCAGUCGGCAAGACAGCCUAAAAACACAUCAACGUAGACACACUGGAGACAAACUGAAAAACUGCAAAGAAUGUGGGAGAAGCUUCACCACAUCACGUAACUUAAAACGCCAUGAACUGAUUCACAGUGGGGUUAAAAAGCACCUCUGUGAUCAGUGUGGGUCAUCCUUCACCACUGCAGGUGAGCUUAAAACACACAAACGAGUCCACACAGGAGAGAAACCAUACAAGUGCAGACACUGUGACAAAAGUUUCUCAUGUUCAGGUCAUCGUAACAAGCAUGAACAUACACACAUGGAAGGAAACUACAGCUGUGACCAGUGUGACAAGAGCUUCAGGAAUCUCAGUUCAUACUCCAAACACAAACGAUCCCACGUUACUAAUAAA